This 476-nucleotide ribosomal RNA is filed under the name uncultured bacterium. Its description in RNAcentral is "SSU rRNA". It matches the Rfam family "Bacterial small subunit ribosomal RNA", at positions 26 to 518 of the family's 1533-position model. The record is from RNAcentral.
AGAAUCAACGCUGGCGGCGUGCCUAACACAUGCAAGUCGAACGAGAAAGUGGAGCAAUCCAUGAGUAAAGUGGCGACCGGGUGAGUAACACGUGACUAACCUACCUUCGAGUGGGGGAUAACCUCGGGAAACCGGGGCUAAUACCGCAUAAAAUCUUUGGAUCGGAAGAACUGGAGAUCAAUGGAGCAAUUCGCUUGAAGAGGGGGUCGCGGCUGAUUAGCUAGUUGGCGGGGUAAUGGCCCACCAAGGCUUUGAUCGGUAGCCGGCCUGAGAGGGCGCACGGCCACACUGGAACUGAAACACGGUCCAGACUCCUACGGGAGGCAGCAGUGGGGAAUUUUGCGCAAUGGGGGAAACCCUGACGCAGCAACGCCGCGUGGAGGAUGAAGUCCCUUGGGACGUAAACUCCUUUCGAUCGGGACGAUUAUGACGGUACCGGAAGAAGAAGCCCCGGCUAACUUCGCGCUAGCAGCCGC